RNAcentral lists this ribosomal RNA (776 nucleotides) under uncultured Neocallimastigales. RNAcentral's name for it is "partial large subunit ribosomal RNA". It matches the Rfam family "Eukaryotic large subunit ribosomal RNA", at positions 23 to 634 of the family's 3401-position model. Lineage: Eukaryota; Fungi; Neocallimastigomycota; Neocallimastigomycetes; Neocallimastigales. The record is from RNAcentral.
AGAGAGAGACAUGCGCGCAUAUCAAUAAGCGGAGGAAAAGAAACUAACAAGGAUUCCCUUAGUAACGGCGAGUGAAGCGGGAAGAGCUCAAAUUUGAAAUCUUCAAGGUUUUACCUUGACGAAUUGUAGUUUAAAGAAGUGCUUUCUGUUGAAGUUUUGGUAAAAGUUCUUUGGAAUAGGACAUCAUAGAGGGUGAGAAUCCCGUAUUUGACCAUUAUUUUCCAGCUGUGUGAUACACUUUCAAAGAGUCGGAUUGUUUGGGAAUGCAGUCCAAAAUGGGUGGUAAAUUUCAUCUAAAGCUAAAUACUGGCGAGAGACCGAUAGCGAACAAGUACCGUGAGGGAAAGAUGAAAAGAACUUUGAAAAGAGAGUUAAACAGUACGUGAAAUUGUCAAAAGGGAAGCGUUUGACACCAGUGUUGUUUUCUCGAAAAUCAAUUACGAAUGUUUUGUUUUUGAGGAGUUAUGACUUCAUCGGCUUGCUCCUUUCUUUACGAAACUUUCUUAAUGCACUUUUCGGUUAACAAGUCAACCUCAAUUUCUUUUGUUGUAAAAGGGUAUGAGGAAGGUGGCUUUCUUUUCGGAGAAAGUGUUUAUAGCCUUGUACCUCUGCAAUCGGAGAGAUUGAGGUCCUGCAGCGUAGAUCCUUCGGGGUUAAAUACAUUUGUGCUAAGUUAUAGCUUUUCAUAGACAACUUGUUGACUAUGUUUAGUCUUGUAGCUUACUCGCUUAUGCUAUUUUACCUACGCUUAGGAUGUUGAUCUGUAGUGCGUGCGC